GCCCUUGUAGCUCAAUGGCAAGAGCCUUGGAGUGCCGGUUCAAGUCCGGCUGAGGGCA
Molecule: transfer RNA, 58 nt
Filed under: Ackermannviridae sp.
Lineage: Duplodnaviria; Heunggongvirae; Uroviricota; Caudoviricetes; Pantevenvirales; Ackermannviridae
Description: tRNA-OTHER
Rfam family: tRNA
About the family: Transfer RNA (tRNA) molecules are approximately 80 nucleotides in length. Their secondary structure includes four short double-helical elements and three loops (D, anti-codon, and T loops).
Source: RNAcentral